This 429-nucleotide ribosomal RNA is filed under the name Gemmatimonadota bacterium. Its description in RNAcentral is "Gemmatimonadetes bacterium partial 16S ribosomal RNA". It matches the Rfam family "Bacterial small subunit ribosomal RNA", at positions 355 to 776 of the family's 1533-position model. Lineage: Bacteria; Pseudomonadati; Gemmatimonadota. The record is from RNAcentral.
UAGGGAAUCUUCGGCAAUGGACGAAAGUCUGACCGAGCAACGCCGCGUGAGUGAAGAAGGUUUUCGGAUCGUAAAACUCUGUUGUUAGAGAAGAACAAGGACGUUAGUAACUGAACGUCCCCUGACGGUAUCUAACCAGAAAGCCACGGCUAACUACGUGCCAGCAGCCGCGGUAAUACGUAGGUGGCAAGCGUUGUCCGGAUUUAUUGGGCGUAAAGCGAGCGCAGGCGGUUUCUUAAGUCUGAUGUGAAAGCCCCCGGCUCAACCGGGGAGGGUCAUUGGAAACUGGGAGACUGGAGUGCAGAAGAGGAGAGUGGAAUUCCAUGUGUAGCGGUGAAAUGCGUAGAUAUAUGGAGGAACACCAGUGGCGAAGGCGGCUCUCUAGUCUGUAACUGACGCUGAGGCUCGAAAGCGUGGGGAGCAAACAGG